Long non-coding RNA from Triticum aestivum (bread wheat), 957 nucleotides. RefSeq lists it as uncharacterized. The transcript has 4 exons. The record is from RefSeq and is a predicted model, not a curated record. NCBI's taxonomy places the organism in Eukaryota, Viridiplantae, Streptophyta, Magnoliopsida, Poales, Poaceae.
CCCUCCCUGGAUCCCCUUUCUCGUCAAGCUUGCCGGGGAUGCCACCGCUCGCCGUUGCAACGCCAGCUGCAGGGGCCGGCAGGAUCCGCCAGCCGUCGGUCCGGAUCGACGUCCACGCCUUCGGCUCCAACAUGUAUGCCCGCUAGGCGCCGCCGUGAACCACCUCAUUUCUCCGGAACCUCUUGAACCAAGGCCACCCUUUUGGUUCCGUUGGCCGCCGUUGCGACCCCGCCACGGUCAUCGUCCUCCCCGAGCAGCUACAGGGACCAUGAAGGGGUCCACGUCUGGACCACGGACUCGAAGCCACGGGUCCCUCCUACAGCUUCCUCAACCGCUGACCGCCAUUGACGCCGUCCGGAACUCACUGUUGUCCGUCCUCUCGCCUCCCUGAUCUGUUCGACUCGGCCGCAAUGAACAACAAGGUCCACCUCCUUCUGUAUGACGCACGAGGUGUUGCAGUGAGGAUACAGAGCAUCUACCACCAGUGAGCUUCCAUGAUAUGGAUAAAACAUCUUUUAGAAAUAGCAAUCUGAUGUGGGUAUCUUCAGGAAUCAAGAAGCGAAUGAGAUAAGGCAAGUGGACUUCUCAUUUAGUCACAUGAUAUCUUCAGGAAUCAAGAAGCGAAUGAGAUAAGGCAAGUGGACUUCUCAUUUAGUCACAUGAUAUGGCAACUGCAUCAAAGUAACUAUUAAUUUUGUGUUGGCAUGGUAGUGUUGUCAGGAUUUAUUGCCUAAAUGUGUUUGUGUAAAAACACAAGAAUGCAUUUCUCUUCAUCAUUGUGAUGGUGAAAGAAAAUAUGUCGAACAAUUGUUUAUCGUGUAAACUAUUUUGGCGCAAUGCACCUGCUACUUGCUUAUUCGUCAGCAUGGCUCAGGAUCCCAAUUUCCUUCCUUAUUUCAUCUUUGAUUUGUCACCUCAUGUCCUUCUCAAUUUAGAUUAGAGAAUAUAUCUCUCAGG